Molecule: non-coding RNA, 459 nt
Organism: Oryzias latipes (Japanese medaka)
Lineage: Eukaryota; Metazoa; Chordata; Actinopteri; Beloniformes; Adrianichthyidae
Source: RefSeq, a predicted model, not a curated record
CCGCCUGUGAUGCUGCAUUUGGCUGGUUAUGCGGCUGUUCACAGAGAGGAUGAAGCCUGCGUGGCAGCUGUAAUGGAGCGCCGUCCCUUCCACCGGAGGUCCUGGGGGAUUUGCCGUCACCCUGCCGUUCUCCAGAGAGGUCCACACCCGCGGACACAGCAGCACUGGAGGCCAGAAACACCAAGACUCUGAAAAGGAGACCGGUUUCACCUCAUUGAACAGACUAAGGCCUCAGAGAAAGGCAGCAUCCUAAAGACCCCAGCUUCUCCAUCUUUUCUGCUGGCUAUAAAGGUGCAGAUCUUCUCCACUGUGGACAGUUGGAGUUUGUUGGCCUCCAGCUCUAUGCCAGUUACGCUGCCCACGUCGCUGAGGUCGCCCAGGUGCUCCACGGAAUCAUAUUUCUCCAGGUCAGAGGCGAUGGUCUGCAGGCUGAAGACGGACAGCGAGUCCGACCCGGCU